RNAcentral lists this ribosomal RNA (440 nucleotides) under uncultured bacterium. RNAcentral's name for it is "partial 16S ribosomal RNA". It matches the Rfam family "Bacterial small subunit ribosomal RNA", at positions 338 to 795 of the family's 1533-position model. The record is from RNAcentral.
CCUACGUGUGACAGCAGUGGGGGGUAUUGCACAAUGGGAGAAACCCUGAUGCAGCGACGCCGCGUGUAGGAAGACGGUCCUCUGGAUUGUAAACUACUGUCCCCAGGGACGAAGAUGACGGUACCUGGGGAGGAAGCUCCGGCUAACUACGUGCCAGCAGCCGCGGUAAUACGUAGGGAGCGAGCGUUGUCCGGAAUUACUGGGUGUAAAGGGAGCGUAGGCGGGGAUGCAAGUUGGGUGUUAAAUCUACCGGCUCAACUGGUAGUCGCACUCAAAACUGCAGCUCUUGAGUGAAGUAGAGGCAGGCGGAAUUCCUAGUGUAGCGGUGAAAUGCGUAGAUAUUAGGAGGAACACCAGUGGCGAAGGCGGCCUGCUGGGCUUUUACUGACGCUCAGGCUCGAAAGUGUGGGGAGCAAACAGGAUUAGAUACCCCGGUAGUC